ACUCACCACAAUCUUAAAAACCAAUUUAAAUAAAAACACUCACAUAUCUAGCUUCCUUACAAACUUAAAUUCAAAAGUACUUAAAAGGAAAACUUCAAUAACUUAAGGUAGUGAUUAAACCACGUACCUUGUGCAUUAUGGUUUUACAAGCACACAAUUAAUAAUGAAAUCCCGAAUACUACGCGAGCUGCCCCCUCAUAGCUAAGAGCCCACUACCAGUUAUGGCACUAACUCUAGAAAAUGAGGUAGCAGAGGCUACAUACCAUACGCGCUAGACAAUUGCUGGUUAUCGGCAAACCUUAUAAAUUAAACCAUGUAGAACAACCUAUAAUGCUAAAUCUUAGAGGAUAAGCCCUAAGAUUUAAAGCUAACUAUCAAUAAAUGUAAAUCAGUAGGCUUAAAAUCAGCCAACCUUAGUGCUUUACCGCAUUACACACCUAAUUAAUAAUAACUAUGCCCCCUAAAGCUGAUAUUUAAGAAAAAUAAUCACCCUUAAAAUAUUAUGUAAAAAUAAGUAUUAUGUCACUUCCGCCGCCAUACUACCACAGCAAGAGCUUAUAAAGGAACUCGGCAAAUCCUUAUUUCGACUGUUUAACAAAAACAUUGCUUCUUGACCACUUAUAAGAAGUAAUCCUGCCCAG
RNAcentral lists this ribosomal RNA (641 nucleotides) under Octodrilus exacystis. RNAcentral describes it as "partial 16S ribosomal RNA". The record is from RNAcentral. Lineage: Eukaryota; Metazoa; Annelida; Clitellata; Crassiclitellata; Lumbricidae.